Molecule: ribosomal RNA, 253 nt
Filed under: uncultured bacterium
Lineage: Bacteria
Description: partial 16S ribosomal RNA
Rfam family: Bacterial small subunit ribosomal RNA
Source: RNAcentral
UACGUAGGGGGCAAGCGUUGUCCGGAUUUAUUGGGCGUAAAGAGCGUGUAGGCGGCCAUACAGGUCCGUUGUGAAAACUGGAGGCUUAACCUCCAGACGUCGAUGGAAACCGUAUGGCUAGAGUCCGGAAGAGGAGAGUGGAAUUCCGGGUGUAGUGGUGAAAUGCGUAGAGAUCCGGAGGAACACCAGAGGCGAAGGCGGCACCCUGGCCUAAUACUGACACUGAGACGCGAAAGCAUGGGGAGCGAACGGG